RNAcentral lists this ribosomal RNA (460 nucleotides) under uncultured bacterium. Its description in RNAcentral is "partial 16S ribosomal RNA". It matches the Rfam family "Bacterial small subunit ribosomal RNA", at positions 338 to 795 of the family's 1533-position model. The record is from RNAcentral.
CCUACGGGGGGCAGCAGUGAGGAAUAUUGGUCAAUGGACGAGAGUCUGAACCAGCCAAGUAGCGUGAAGGAUGACUGCCCUAUGGGUUGUAAACUUCUUUUAUAUGGGAAUAAAAUGUUCCACGUGUGGGAUUUUGUAUGUACCAUAUGAAUAAGGAUCGGCUAACUCCGUGCCAGCAGCCGCGGUAAUACGGAGGAUCCGAGCGUUAUCCGGAUUUAUUGGGUUUAAAGGGAGCGUAGGUGGAUUGUUAAGUCAGUUGUGAAAGUUUGCGGCUCAACCGUAAAAUUGCAGUUGAAACUGGCAGUCGUGAGUACAGUAGAGGUGGGCGGAAUUCGUGGUGUAGCGGUGAAAUGCUUAGAUAUCACGAAGAACUCCGAUGGCGAAGGCAGCUCACUGGACUGCAACUGACACUGAGGCUCGAAAGUGUGGGUAUCAAACAGGAUUAGAUACCCCUGUAGUC